CAGUCGCCGCGGGAAUACGGAGGGUGCAAGCGUUAAUCGGAAUUACUGGGCGUAAAGCGUGCGUAGGCGGUUCGUUAAGUCUGUUGUGAAGGCCCCGGGCUCAACCUGGGAAUGGCAAUGGAUACUGGCGAGCUAGAGUGUGUCAGAGGAUGGUGGAAUUCCCGGUGUAGCGGUGAAAUGCGUAGAGAUCGGGAGGAACAUCAGUGGCGAAGGCGGCCAUCUGGGACAACACUGACGCUGAGGCACGAAAGCGUGGGGAGCAAACAGGAUUAGAUACCCCCGUAGUCCCUGUCUCUUAUAC
RNAcentral lists this ribosomal RNA (301 nucleotides) under uncultured bacterium. RNAcentral describes it as "partial 16S ribosomal RNA". It matches the Rfam family "Bacterial small subunit ribosomal RNA", at positions 509 to 807 of the family's 1533-position model. The record is from RNAcentral.